AGUGAACGCUGGCGGCAGGCCUAACACAUGCAAGUCGAGCGGCAGCGCGGGGGCAACCCUGGCGGCGAGCGGCGGACGGGUGAGGAAUUCGUCGGAAUCUGCCUUUUUGUGGGGGAUAACGUAGGGAAACUUACGCUAAUACCGCAUACGUCCUACGGGAGAAAGUGGGGGACCGCAAGGCCUCACGCAGAAAGAUGAGCCGACGACCGAUUAGCUAGUUGGUGGGGUAAAGGCCCACCAAGGCGACGAUCGGUAGCUGGCCUGAGAGGAUGAUCAGCCACACUGGGACUGAGACACGGCCCAGACUCCUACGGGAGGCAGCAGUGGGGAAUAUUGGACAAUGGGCGCAAGCCUGAUCCAGCCAUGCCGCGUGUGUGAAGAAGGCCUUCGGGUUGUAAAGCACUUUUGUCCGGAAAGAAAUCCCUGGAGCUAAUACCUUCGGGGGAUGACGGUACCGGAAGAAUAAGCACCGGCUAACUUCGUG
RNAcentral lists this ribosomal RNA (484 nucleotides) under uncultured bacterium. RNAcentral's name for it is "partial 16S ribosomal RNA". It matches the Rfam family "Bacterial small subunit ribosomal RNA", at positions 29 to 507 of the family's 1533-position model. The record is from RNAcentral.